GACAGAGGAUCAUGCAACAUAUCCUACCGGCACGACAAUUUUUAUUUCAGUUCUUCUGCAACAAUGAGCCUUGGAUAAAAGCUUGGAAGUGCCUUAUGCCCUGGCAUGCAUUUGUACUCUUCACACCAAAAUAAGACACAAAUAUACAGUGUUUUCCUGCCGAAGUUGAAAAGUAAUUGGUGAGCACAUACUGUCAUAAGCAUACACAGGCUGCUAACUGAUUCCUAACAGAUAACUAUAGCCUUGCCCAUGCUAUUAGUCUCCAGCAGAAUGAAAUGAGUAUUAUGUCUUGGGGGAUCUAAUUCACAAAUGUACAGUAGAAAGGAUCUUAGCACCUUUCUUAAGUUAAUUAUAGAAACUACAGACUGAGUUUUUAACUU
Molecule: long non-coding RNA, 380 nt
Organism: Carya illinoinensis
Lineage: Eukaryota; Viridiplantae; Streptophyta; Magnoliopsida; Fagales; Juglandaceae
Exons: 2
Source: RefSeq, a predicted model, not a curated record